AUGGCCGAGGUGAAGUCGGGCGAGCGGGCGGCGGCGGUGCUGUCGGAGGCUGCGCAGUGUGAGCUGCUCGACCUGUGCGAGGAUCAGUUCGCGCAGCUGGAGAAGCUUCAGAAUGAGGUCAUACUGUGCGAACCGGAUUUCGGUGAGAAUCCACAGGAGCAGUCAAUAAAUCGACUGAUAGCCACAGAAGCUGAGCUGAAGCAGUGGCUGGCAGUGGAGCCAAAAUGUAAGUCCUCCAUAAACACUGUGAUGGCAGAUGUAAUCAUAGCAUAAGUGCUAACAUAACUGAAGUAUUAAUAUCACAAAUCACUACCACACUUGUAUGGCAGUUAAACUUGGUGCAUCACUGUUAAAUCAUGCAAUCCGAUUUCAGCUCAGAUGUUGUGUCCUCAUCAGGUUGUGAUUCUCGACUUUCUAAUCAAAUUUUCUGCUGUAUCUAAUGUCUAACACAACAAAAUUUGCAUUUUUUAUAAUAUACUAACUUAUUUUGUGCCGUUCAGUGCUGGCAGCAAAUUCAGAAGUUUUACUUCAAGCUGGAAAAGAGGAGGUAUGUUGACGUGUAAACUGCAACAUCAAAGAAUAUCUCACUAAAGACCCUUGAUUCAAUGCAUCGCUGGAGUUAUACAAUUGGUUUU
This 635-nucleotide long non-coding RNA is filed under the name Scophthalmus maximus (turbot). RNAcentral's name for it is "lncRNA (ENSSMAG00000031581.1)". Lineage: Eukaryota; Metazoa; Chordata; Actinopteri; Pleuronectiformes; Scophthalmidae. The record is from RNAcentral.